RNAcentral lists this ribosomal RNA (497 nucleotides) under uncultured bacterium. RNAcentral's name for it is "partial 16S ribosomal RNA". It matches the Rfam family "Bacterial small subunit ribosomal RNA", at positions 28 to 507 of the family's 1533-position model. The record is from RNAcentral.
GAUGAACGCUGGCGGCGUGCCUAAUACAUGCAAGUCGAGCGAACAGAUGAGGAGCUUGCUCCUCUGACGUUAGCGGCGGACGGGUGAGUAACACGUGGAUAACCUACCUAUAAGACUGGGAUAACUUCGGGAAACCGGAGCUAAUACCGGAUAAUAUAUUGAACCGCAUGGUUCAAUAGUGAAAGACGAUUUUGCUGUCACUUAUAGAUGGAUCCGCGCCGCAUUAGCUAGUUGGUAAGGUAACGGCUUACCAAGGCAACGAUGCGUAGCCGACCUGAGAGGGUGAUCGGCCACACUGGAACUGAGACACGGUCCAGACUCCUACGGGAGGCAGCAGUAGGGAAUCUUCCGCAAUGGGCGAAAGCUUGACGGAGCAACGCCGCGUGAGUGAUGAAGGUCUUCGGAUCGUAAAACUCUGUUAUUAGGGAAGAACAAAUGUGUAAGUAACUAUGCACGUCUUGACGGUACCUAAUCAGAAAGCCACGGCUAACUACGUG